AGGCAGCAGUGAGGAAUAUUGCACAAUGGGGGGAACCCUGAUGCAGCAACGCCGCGUGAAGGAUGAAGGUCCUUGGAUUGUAAACUUCUUUUAACGGGGAAGAGGAAGGACGGUACCCGUUGAAUAAGUCACGGCUAACUACGUGCCAGCAGCCGCGGUAAUACGUAGGUGGCGAGCGUUAUCCGGAAUUAUUGGGCGUAAAGGGCGCGCAGGCGGCCAUUUAAGUUUGACGUGAAAGCUCCUGGCUUAACUGGGAGAGGUCGUUGGAAACUGAAUGGCUUGAGGCAAUGAGAGGGGUGCGGAAUUCCCGGUGUAGUGGUGGAAUGCGUAGAUAUCGGGAGGAACACCAGUGGCGAAAGCGGCACCCUGGCAUUGGACUGACGCUGAAGUGCGAAAGCGUGGGGAGCGAACGGGAUUAGAUACCCCGGUAGUCCACGCUGUAAACGAUGAACACUAGGUGUGGGUGGUGUCAAAGCUAUCUGUGCCGAAGCAAACGCGAUAAGUGUUCCGCCUGGGGAGUACGGCCGCAAGGCUAAAACUCAAAGGAAUUGACGG
This 555-nucleotide ribosomal RNA is filed under the name uncultured Chloroflexota bacterium. Its description in RNAcentral is "bacterial SSU rRNA". It matches the Rfam family "Bacterial small subunit ribosomal RNA", at positions 346 to 916 of the family's 1533-position model. Lineage: Bacteria; Bacillati; Chloroflexota. The record is from RNAcentral.